Molecule: ribosomal RNA, 466 nt
Filed under: uncultured bacterium
Lineage: Bacteria
Description: partial 16S ribosomal RNA
Rfam family: Bacterial small subunit ribosomal RNA
Source: RNAcentral
GAUGAACGCUGGCGGCGUGCUUAACACAUGCAAGUCGAACGAUGAAGCCCAGCUUGCUGGGUGGAUUAGUGGCGAACGGGUGAGUAACACGUGAGUAACCUGCCCUUAACUCUGGGAUAAGCCUGGGAAACUGGGUCUAAUACCGGAUAGGAGCGUCCACCGCAUGGUGGGUGUUGGAAAGAUUUAUCGGUUUUGGAUGGACUCGCGGCCUAUCAGCUUGUUGGUGAGGUAAUGGCUCACCAAGGCGACGACGGGUAGCCGGCCUGAGAGGGUGACCGGCCACACUGGGACUGAGAUACGGCCCAGACUCCUACGGGAGGCAGCAGUGGGGAAUAUUGCACAAUGGGCGCAAGCCUGAUGCAGCGACGCCGCGUGAGGGAUGACGGCCUUCGGGUUGUAAACCUCUUUCAGUAGGGAAGAAGCGAAAGUGACGGUACCUGCAGAAGAAGCACCGGCUAACUACGUG